This 450-nucleotide ribosomal RNA is filed under the name uncultured bacterium. RNAcentral's name for it is "partial 16S ribosomal RNA". It matches the Rfam family "Bacterial small subunit ribosomal RNA", at positions 354 to 796 of the family's 1533-position model. The record is from RNAcentral.
GUCGAGAAUAAUUCACAAUGGACGAAAGUCUGAUGGUGCAACGCCGCGUGGAGGAUGACGGUCUUCGGAUUGUAAACUCCUGUCAUCCGGGAGUAAGACCUGGCUGUGAAUAGCAGACAGGGUUGAUAGUACCGGAAGAGGAAGGGACGGCUAACUUCGUGCCAGCAGCCGCGGUAAUACGAAGGUCCCGAGCGUUGUUCGAAAUCACUGGGCGUAAAGGGAGCGUAGGCGGCGUGGUAAGUCAGAUGUGAAAUCCCGGGGCUCAACCCCGGAACUGCAUCCGAUACUGCCGUGCUAGAGGAUUGGAGAGGUAGCUGGAAUUCUUGGUGUAGCAGUGAAAUGCGUGGAGAUCAAGAGGAACACUCGUGGCGAAAGCGAGCUACUGGACAAUAUCUGACGCUGAGGCUCGAAGGCCAGGGUAGCGAAAGGGAUUAGAAACCCUUGUAGUCC